This 468-nucleotide ribosomal RNA is filed under the name uncultured bacterium. Its description in RNAcentral is "partial 16S ribosomal RNA". It matches the Rfam family "Bacterial small subunit ribosomal RNA", at positions 28 to 507 of the family's 1533-position model. The record is from RNAcentral.
GACGAACGCUGGCGGCGUGCUUAACACAUGCAAGUCGAACGGAAAGGCCCUGCUUUUGUGGGGUGCUCGAGUGGCGAACGGGUGAGUAACACGUGAGUAACCUGCCCUUGACUUUGGGAUAACUUCAGGAAACUGGGGCUAAUACCGGAUAGGAGCUCCUGCUGCAUGGUGGGGGUUGGAAAGUUUCGGCGGUUGGGGAUGGACUCGCGGCUUAUCAGCUUGUUGGUGGGGUAGUGGCUUACCAAGGCUUUGACGGGUAGCCGGCCUGAGAGGGUGACCGGCCACAUGGGGACUGAGAUACGGCCCAGACUCCUACGGGAGGCAGCAGUGGGGAAUAUUGCACAGUGGGCGGAAGCCUGAGGCAGCAACGCCGCGUGCGGGAUGACGGCCUUCGGGUUGUAAACCGCUUUCGCCUGUGACGAAGCGUGAGUGACGGUAAUGGGUAAAGAAGCACCGGCUAACUACGUG